CACGUUGGAUAACCUACCUGUAANCACUGGGAUAACUUCGGGAAACCGGAACUAAUACCGGAUAAUUUAUUGNACCGCAUGGUUCAAUAGUUGAAAGACGGUUUUGCUGUCACUUAUAGAUGGAUCCGCGCCGNAUUANCUNGUUGGNAAGGUAACGGAUUACCAACGCAACGAUGCGUACCCGACCUGACAGGGUGAUCGGCCCCACUGGAACUGACACACGGUCCAGACUCCUACGGGAGGCAGCACUAGGGAAUCUUCCGCAAUGGGCGAAAGCCUGACGGAGCAACGCCGCNUGAGUGAUGAAGGUCUUCNGAUCGUAAAACUCUGUUAUNAGGGAAGAACAUAUGUGUAAGUAACUGUGCACGUCUUGACGGUACCUNAUCAGAAAGCCACGGCUAACUACGUGCCAGCAGCCNCGGUAAUACGUAGGUGGCAAGCGUUAUCCGGAAUUAUUGGGCGUAAAGCGCGCGUAUGCGGUUUUUUAAGUCUGAUGUGAAAGCCCACGGCUCAACCGUGGAGGGUCAUUGGAAACUGGAAAACUUGAGUGCAGAAGAGGAAAGUGGAAUUCCAUGUGUAGCGGUNAANUGCACAUAGAUAUGGAGGAACACCAUUGGCA
Molecule: ribosomal RNA, 619 nt
Filed under: Staphylococcus sp. FS-YC6690
Lineage: Bacteria; Bacillati; Bacillota; Bacilli; Caryophanales; Staphylococcaceae
Description: partial 16S ribosomal RNA
Rfam family: Bacterial small subunit ribosomal RNA
Source: RNAcentral